CCUUUGAUAGCUCAGUUGGUAGAGCGGAGGACUGUAGGUGGGAUGAUGCCAAUCCUUAGGUCGCUGGUUCGACUCCGGCUCGAAGGA
This 87-nucleotide transfer RNA is filed under the name Danio rerio (zebrafish). It matches the Rfam family "tRNA". From Rfam's summary of the family: Transfer RNA (tRNA) molecules are approximately 80 nucleotides in length. Their secondary structure includes four short double-helical elements and three loops (D, anti-codon, and T loops). The record is from Rfam by way of RNAcentral. Lineage: Eukaryota; Metazoa; Chordata; Actinopteri; Cypriniformes; Danionidae.